CCUACGGGGUGCACCAGUGGGGAAUAUUGCACAAUGGGCGCAAGCCUGAUGCAGCCAUGCCGCGUGUAUGAAGAAGGCCUUCGGGUUGUAAAGUACUUUCAGCGGGGAGGAAGGUGUUGUGGUUAAUAACCACAGCAAUUGGCGUUACCCGCAGAAGAAGCACCGGCUAACUCCGUGCCAGCAGCCGCGGUAAUACGGAGGGUGCAAGCGUUAAUCGGAAUUACUGGGCGUAAAGCGCACGCAGGCGGUUUGUUAAGUCAGAUGUGAAAUCCCCGGGCUCAACCUGGGAACUGCAUCUGAUACUGGCAAGCUUGAGUCUCGUAGAGGGGGGUAGAAUUCCAGGUGUAGCGGUGAAAUGCGUAGAGAUCUGGAGGAAUACCGGUGGCGAAGGCGGCCCCCUGGACGAAGACUGACGCUCAGGUGCGAAAGCGUGGGGAGCAAACAGGAUUAGAUACCCGUGUAGUC
RNAcentral lists this ribosomal RNA (465 nucleotides) under uncultured bacterium. RNAcentral's name for it is "bacterial SSU rRNA". It matches the Rfam family "Bacterial small subunit ribosomal RNA", at positions 338 to 795 of the family's 1533-position model. The record is from RNAcentral.